UGAGCAGCGACCUCGUCGACGGGCCGCGCCGGUUGAGGCGCACACACGCAUAUCCGUUCCUGUACCGCACCCGAGCACUCUCACCUUCCUUUCCAUCCCGGAUGCUUCUGGUUAGAUCCCCUCCCGAAUUCCGCAUAUGCGCACACUUUUCUCUUGCGAUUUGUUGUUGAAAUUGAAUUUAUGAUUUGAUAUGAAUUGUGGAAAUCUCUUCCUCUGUCUGCGUAUGAACUGAGCUCGUUGCUUUCUUAAGGGAAUCCGUUUUAACCGAGGUACUCGCUCCGACCGGUAUUCCUCGUCUCAAAUUUGCCCAAAUACAGAUGUAUUUAUGUGUAAAAAGCAUUUAGAUAAAUGUAAUAUUUGACGAGUAAUUUCAUCCGGAGGGAGUAAAACAAAAUUCAUAACGGAAUCGGUGUCAGAUUCGGCCUGCGCAGAACAAAAGAGCUUCACACUCAAGACUCGCCGCCAACCAACCGCCGUCAGCAAUUAUUGUCUGAAUCCGACCGAGGGUGCCCCAAAUCACCGCCCCAGAUCUCUCAAUCAAUCGCCGCGGGGAGCUUAAGAUGAUAGUGUCUAUGGUGGCAAGGCUGGAGCAGAGGCUGUUGUUCUUGGGCAAGGAGAAGAGGGAUAAUGACCACCUCUACAUGGUUGGGGUGAGGGACAAGGACAAAGUGCUGCUCCUUUAGGAUGCAUAACUAAAGUUACUAUACACAGGUAGGCGAAUUCUGCAGUGCCAUUCCAAGUGCUGAAUUGGUAGUGCUAUUGGAAUGAGGUUAUGUAUUUUGAAUUGCAUGCAGAAAAAUGAUUUUUAUAGUGAAUUGAUGGUGCUAUUUUGAAA
Long non-coding RNA from Brachypodium distachyon (stiff brome), 835 nucleotides. RefSeq lists it as uncharacterized. The record is from RefSeq and is a predicted model, not a curated record. NCBI's taxonomy places the organism in Eukaryota, Viridiplantae, Streptophyta, Magnoliopsida, Poales, Poaceae. The transcript has 2 exons.